Molecule: ribosomal RNA, 450 nt
Filed under: Glomus indicum
Lineage: Eukaryota; Fungi; Glomeromycota; Glomeromycetes; Glomerales; Glomeraceae
Description: SSU rRNA
Rfam family: Eukaryotic small subunit ribosomal RNA
Source: RNAcentral
UUGGAGGGCAAGUCUGGUGCCAGCAGCCGCGGUAAUUCCAGCUCCAAUAGCGUAUAUUAAAGUUGUUGCAGUUAAAAAGCUCGUAGUUGAAUUUCGAGACCGGCUUACUGGUCGUGCUAUUGUACGUACUGGUAUAAUCGGUUUCUCCCUUCUGACGAACUAUAAUGCCAUUAAUUUGGUGUUAUAGGGAAUCAGGACUGUUACUUUGAAAAAAUUAGAGUGUUUAAAGCAGGCUCACGCUUGAAUACAUUAGCAUGGAAUAACGGAAUAGGACGUUUGAUUCUAUUUUGUUGGUUUCUAGGAUCGACGUAAUGAUUAAUAGGGAUAGUUGGGGGCAUUAGUAUUCAAUUGUCAGAGGUGAAAUUCUUGGAUUUAUUGAAGACUAACUACUGCGAAAGCAUUUGCCAAGGAUGUUUUCAUUAAUCAAGAACGAAAGUUAGGGGAUUGAAG